AUACGGAGGAUCCGAGCGUUAUCCGGAUUUAUUGGGUUUAAAGGGAGCGUAGGUGGACAGUUAAGUCAGUUGUGAAAGUUUGCGGCUCAACCGUACAAUUACAGUUGAUACUGGCUGUCUUGUGUACAGUAGAGGUGGGCGGUAUUCGGGGUGUAGCGGGGAAAUGCUUAGAUAUCACGAAGAACUCCGGUUGCGAAGGCAGCUCACUGGACUGCAACUGACACUGAUGCUCGAAAGUGUGGGUAUCAAACAGGAUUAGAUACCCUGGUAGUCCACACAGUAAACGAUGAAUACUCGCUGUUUGCGAUAUACAGUAAGCGGCCAAGCGAAAGCAUUAAGUAUUCCACCUGGGGAGUACGCCGGCAACGGUGAAACUCAAAUGAAUUGACGGGG
RNAcentral lists this ribosomal RNA (393 nucleotides) under uncultured bacterium. RNAcentral describes it as "partial 16S ribosomal RNA". It matches the Rfam family "Bacterial small subunit ribosomal RNA", at positions 523 to 918 of the family's 1533-position model. The record is from RNAcentral.